AGUCCUAUAACGAGCGNAACCCCUAUCGUUAGUUGCCAACAGGUAAUGCUGGGAACUCUAGCGAGACUGCCGGUGCAAACCGCGAGGAAGGUGGGGAUGACGUCAAAUCAUCACGGCCCUUACGUCCUGGGCUACACACGUGCUACAAUGGUAGGGACAGAGAGCAGCCACUUCGCGAGAAGGAGCGAAUCUACAAACCCUAUCUCAGUUCGGAUCGCAGUCUGCAACUCGACUGCGUGAAGCUGGAAUCGCUAGUAAUCGCAUAUCAGCCAUGAUGCGGUGAAUACGUUCCCGGGCCUU
This 300-nucleotide ribosomal RNA is filed under the name uncultured bacterium. RNAcentral's name for it is "bacterial SSU rRNA". It matches the Rfam family "Bacterial small subunit ribosomal RNA", at positions 1083 to 1382 of the family's 1533-position model. The record is from RNAcentral.